This is a long non-coding RNA of Zea mays, 571 nucleotides long. RefSeq lists it as uncharacterized. The transcript has 3 exons. The record is from RefSeq and is a predicted model, not a curated record. NCBI's taxonomy places the organism in Eukaryota, Viridiplantae, Streptophyta, Magnoliopsida, Poales, Poaceae.
UCACUGCCGCCCAACCAUUUUCCUCCCUCAAGCAAGCACGCAGCCUCAACUCCUCUCCCACCUCACGCACGUCUUCUCCCAGCCACCGCACAACAGCUUCCUUGCUCCACUCGGCACCUCUGCUCCUCCCAUCCAUGGCGUCGGCCCUGCUCCCUUCUCCUCAAGCAGCGCCCGAGCUCCAUUCCUUGGUCUUCCUGCUCGGCGCUAGGUCCUAAGACAAGCUCCUGUUCUCCAUCCAUGGCGCCCAGGCGAGCAGCUCCCCUUCUCCAGAUCCAUGGACGCCAUCCCCUCCUGCAAUUUGGAGAAGGCGGAGUCUCUGUGCGUUGCUCACCAAGUGCUCGAUGGACAACCUGAACCUGAGACCAUCGUCGUUUUUGUGGUCUUCGAAUCAGAUUCAGUUUUGCCCUCCGUCGAUGUCUCGUCUCUCCUUCGCUGCACCAUCCUCGUCCUUAUCUAUUGGUAAGUCCGAGUGAGAGAGCGUCGGUUAUAUAUUGAGUUAUAGCGAGAUGAAUUUUAAAGUAGUGAUUUUUGUCGCAUCUAGCAAUUGAUUAUUAAUAUGGUGAUAUGUUAU